GAAUUCACUAGUGAUUCAGGCCUAACACAUGCAAGUCGAGCGAACCCUUCGGGGUGAGCGGCGGACGGGUGAGUAACGCGUGGGUAACCUGCCCUAUACACACGGAUAACGUACCGAAAGGUACGCUAAUACGAGAUAAUAUAUUUUUAUCGCAUGGUAAAAAUAUCAAAGCUCUGGCGGUAUAGGAUGGACCCGCGUCUGAUUAGCUAGUUGGUAAGGUAAUGGCUUACCAAGGCGACGAUCAGUAGCCGACCUGAGAGGGUGAUCGGCCACAUUGGAACUGAGACACGGUCCAAACUCCUACGGGAGGCAGCAGUGGGGAAUGUUGCACAAGGGGCGAAAGCCUGAUGCAGCAACGCCGC
RNAcentral lists this ribosomal RNA (362 nucleotides) under uncultured bacterium. RNAcentral's name for it is "bacterial SSU rRNA". It matches the Rfam family "Bacterial small subunit ribosomal RNA", at positions 46 to 392 of the family's 1533-position model. The record is from RNAcentral.